This 421-nucleotide RNase P RNA is filed under the name Actinomycetales bacterium. RNAcentral describes it as "RNase P RNA component class A". It matches the Rfam family "Bacterial RNase P class A". Rfam says of the family: Ribonuclease P (RNase P) is a ubiquitous endoribonuclease, found in archaea, bacteria and eukarya as well as chloroplasts and mitochondria. Its best characterised activity is the generation of mature 5'-ends of tRNAs by cleaving the 5'-leader elements of precursor-tRNAs. Cellular RNase Ps are ribonucleoproteins. The record is from RNAcentral. Lineage: Bacteria; Bacillati; Actinomycetota; Actinomycetes; Actinomycetales.
CGAGUCGGUCAGGCGGUCGCGUCACCCAGGGAUUUCCGGCUCACGCCGGGUAUGCCGGGUGCCGAGGAACGUCCGGACUCCGAAGGGCAGGGUGGUGGCUAACGGCCACCCGGAGCGAUCCGCGGGACAGUGCCACAGAAAACAGACCGCCUCAUCCGAACCGCUGGGAUGCCCAGUAGGCGGAUGAGGUCAGGGUGAAAAGGUGGUGUAAGAGACCACCAGCGGCUUGGGUGACCAGGUCGGCUCGGUAAACCCCACCCGGAGCAAGCUCAGACAGCAGGCGUUCGAGGGCGGCCCGCCCGAUGCCUGCGGGUAGAGCGCUAGAGCCGGCCAGCAAUGGCCGGCCGAGAUGGAUGACCGCCACCGCGGUGCCGGCAACGGCGUCGCGGGACAGAAUCCGGCGUACCGACCGACUCGUCCA